AGGGCUCUCCUGGUCCCCCAAAGAAUACUGGGGCUCCUCUGGGAGGGCUGGCGUUGGGAGAAGGGCUAAUGCCAUCGGGCCCCUAUCUCUUGUAGCCACUUCCCGUGCAGCCUCAUCCGCUCUCCGGUUCCCCUUUGCUUCCUCUGAGUUUCCCUUCUGAUGUCCUUGGCAGUGCAUUACAGCAACUGCCUUUGGCAACCAUAUGGCCUGAAGUAGGCCUAAUAUCUGUUCUUUGUUUUUGAUGGUUUUGCCUUCUGCUGUCAGCAGCCCACGUUCCUUAUAAAUGGCCCCGUGUACAUGUACAGUGGCAAAU
Perognathus longimembris pacificus (Pacific pocket mouse) is the source of this 313-nucleotide long non-coding RNA. RefSeq lists it as uncharacterized. The record is from RefSeq and is a predicted model, not a curated record. The transcript has 3 exons. Lineage: Eukaryota; Metazoa; Chordata; Mammalia; Rodentia; Heteromyidae.